CCUACGGGUGGCAGCAGUGGGGAAUAUUGCACAAUGGGCGCAAGCCUGAUGCAGCGACGCCGCGUGAGGGAUGACGGCCUUCGGGUUGUAAACCUCUGUUAGCAGGGAAGAAGAGAGAUUGACGGUACCUGCAGAGAAAGCGCCGGCUAACUACGUGCCAGCAGCCGCGGUAAUACGUAGGGCGCGAGCGUUGUCCGGAAUUAUUGGGCGUAAAGAGCUUGUAGGCGGUUUGUCGCGUCUGCUGUGAAAGGCCGGAGCUUAACUCCGUGUAUUGCAGUGGGUACGGGCAGACUAGAGUGCAGUAGGGGAGACUGGAAUUCCUGGUGUAGCGGUGGAAUGCGCAGAUAUCAGGAGGAACACCGAUGGCGAAGGCAGGUCUCUGGGCUGUAACUGACGCUGAGAAGCGAAAGCAUGGGGAGCGAACAGGAUUAGAUACCCUUGUAGUC
Molecule: ribosomal RNA, 446 nt
Filed under: uncultured Rothia sp.
Lineage: Bacteria; Bacillati; Actinomycetota; Actinomycetes; Micrococcales; Micrococcaceae
Description: bacterial SSU rRNA
Rfam family: Bacterial small subunit ribosomal RNA
Source: RNAcentral